RNAcentral lists this ribosomal RNA (494 nucleotides) under uncultured bacterium. RNAcentral's name for it is "partial 16S ribosomal RNA". It matches the Rfam family "Bacterial small subunit ribosomal RNA", at positions 28 to 507 of the family's 1533-position model. The record is from RNAcentral.
GACGAACGCUGGCGGCGUGCUUAACACAUGCAAGUCGAACGGAAAGGCCUGCUUUCCCUUGUGGAUUGCGGGUACUCGCGUGGCGAACGGGUGAGUAACACGUGAGUUAUCUGCCCCCAACUUGGGUAUAAGCCUGGGAAACUGGGUCUAAUUCCCGAUAGGACUGCAGGGUGGUGCCUGUGGUGGAAAACGAUUUUCUAGUGGUUGGGGAUGAGCUCGCGGCCUAUCAGCUUGUUGGUGGGGUAAUGGCGUACCAAGGCGGCGACGGGUAGCCGGCCUGGGAGGGUGGACGGCCGCGUUGGGACUGAGAUACGGCGCAGGCGCCUACGGGAAGAAGCAGUGGGGAAUAAUGCACAAUGGGCGGAAGCCUGAGGCAGCGACGCCGAGGGAGGGAUGACGGGCUUCGGGUUGUAAACUCCUUUCGACCGCGAGGAAGCCACCUGGUUGGAAGGGUGGUGACGGUAGUGGUAGAAGAAGCACCGGCUAACUACGUG